ACCCCUGUAGCUCAGCGGAUAGAGCGCGGCCCUGCGGAGGCUGAGGCUUGGGUUCAAUUCCCAACAGGGGUA
This 72-nucleotide transfer RNA is filed under the name Pseudomonadota bacterium. Its description in RNAcentral is "tRNA-Arg". It matches the Rfam family "tRNA". From Rfam's summary of the family: Transfer RNA (tRNA) molecules are approximately 80 nucleotides in length. Their secondary structure includes four short double-helical elements and three loops (D, anti-codon, and T loops). RNAcentral also lists the same sequence under 4 other names. The record is from RNAcentral. Lineage: Bacteria; Pseudomonadati; Pseudomonadota.